Small nucleolar RNA from Cyprinus carpio (common carp), 293 nucleotides. The record is from Ensembl. NCBI's taxonomy places the organism in Eukaryota, Metazoa, Chordata, Actinopteri, Cypriniformes, Cyprinidae.
GCCCAAUGAUGAGACCAAGGCGAAUGCGAGCUCGUUGGGUAAGAGUCUGAGUUCUUCUGUGCUCCUACUGGCGGGUAAUCUUGGCUGGGCAGGGGAGGUUUGCUGCUUUGCUGUAAGGGCCUGCCUACAUUAAACAAGUUCUUCCUAUCAAGAUUUCCCUCAAAGAAAUGCAGGAGAAAUUUGGGAAGGAUGAUCAUAGUGUGUGUGUGUGUGUGGAUGUGGACACAGGUCGAAACUCAGUUCUCUAUAAUGUCUAAUGAGCUGUGAGCUAGUUCUUCUGUAAUCUGAGGGCA